UACGGGGGGAGCAAGCGUUGUUCGGAUUUACUGGGCGUAAAGGGCGCGUAGGCGGCCACCGCAAGUCAAUUGUGAAAUCUCCGGGCUUAACUCGGAAAGGUCAACUGAUACUGCGGGGCUAGAGUGCGGAAGGGGCAACUGGAAUUCUCGGUGUAGCGGUGAAAUGCGUAGAUAUCGAGAGGAACACCUGCGGCGAAGGCGGGUUGCUGGGCCGACACUGACGCUGAGGCGCGAAAGCUAGGGGAGCAAACGGG
RNAcentral lists this ribosomal RNA (254 nucleotides) under uncultured bacterium. Its description in RNAcentral is "partial 16S ribosomal RNA". It matches the Rfam family "Bacterial small subunit ribosomal RNA", at positions 524 to 776 of the family's 1533-position model. The record is from RNAcentral.